Camponotus floridanus (Florida carpenter ant) is the source of this 341-nucleotide long non-coding RNA. RefSeq lists it as uncharacterized. NCBI's taxonomy places the organism in Eukaryota, Metazoa, Arthropoda, Insecta, Hymenoptera, Formicidae. The record is from RefSeq and is a predicted model, not a curated record. The transcript has 3 exons.
CACAGCCCUUAUUUUUGUUGAUCCUUUAUUACGCAGUAGCGUACAGUUUGCACUGCUGUGUAUAGAGUGUGUGCAAGAGUGAUAUAUUAUCGUAGUGUACGUGCUGAGAGUUCGUACAUAGCGAAGCAUAGCGAUGGCUGUGGUGGAUCCAAUUAACGCUGAAUCUCAUGGAAAUGUUCCUCGAUACUCGAAGUCCCGAAAAAGCCACUGUCGCCGUUCGCCAAGUUUCGUCAGCUCGAUAGACAAAAUAGCGCCUCUUUAUCACCAAGUCCUAUAAAAUCACCGGCGACGGAAUUUCGAUUCAAAUUUACCGAACCAACUGUACGAGACAAUGCUGCGCA